CAGUACCAGAGAUGUCUCCAAGAGCACCAGCAACCCCAGCUAUCUGGAUCUGAAGUGGAUAUGCUCAGAGACAUCCUGGCCCACCCCAAAGAAGAUGCUGCUGCACUCAGAAGACGCCAGAGCUAGCCACCACCCACACUGCAAGUCUGGAAGCUCUGCAAGGACCCAGCAAGGCAGCCUGCUCAGCGAAGGCUUUGUCUCCUGUGGCAGGAAGAGCAACAUUAAGAACAAGAACCCCGGGCUGGACUACCCCUGAGAUUUAAUGACCAGAGCUGAGACCCCCAAGACCACAAUGACUAUGGAGGGCUGUCAUUACCCUGCCUGACCCUCUAAUGCCUCUCAGUUCAAGGAGGCCACUGAGUGAAACUGAAGGCUGGUUUUCCUUGGAAGCCAGCGGCCCAUCCACCUGCUCCACUUCCCUGCCUCUUGCAGCCUCCGCUCAAACACUGUCGUGGCUUGGCAGCACUACAAGGCAGAGUGAAAACAGAUACUUCUACCCACAUUCCUAUCUCCUCUCAUUUACGCAGAUUAAAUGCUUUCUUUCCUUGUUUUACACUGCUAGGAUUUUCAUCACCCUGUUUUUUCUUUCUCUACAUCAGCUACAAGAAAAAAAAAAGGAGUUACUGAGCAACUAAGAAGUCACAACUGUUUUCAGUUUUAUUAAUGAGUUGUUAUACUUAUUUUAUAGAUAGAGAAUUACCAUUAUAACAUUGCUCCAUUGCCCACUCAUCCAUUCACGCAUCUGUCCAUCCGUCCAUCCACCCAUUUGUCCACUCCCCAAAUGGUCAUCAAUUGUCUACUGUGAGCCAAGCAAAGUGCUCCUUACUUUGGACUCUGAAUCCAGUGCUCUUUCUACUUCACCAUAGACACAUGCCCCUUGAGUAUAAGGGAGCUUGAUUCAUUCAACAAAUAUCUGUUGUCCAUCUCCAAUGUACUGGCAUAUUCUAAAUGCAUCCAACAAAAACCAAAAUGAAAAAAAAGAAAAACCCAUUCCUUCAAGGGGAUUGCAUUCGGACUGGGGGAGACAGAUAAAAUAAAAAUAAUGAAGUCAAAUAUAUAUGUUAGUGACAUGUGCCAUGAAGAAUAAUGCCCAAUAGUAUUUCAGGGGCUGCCAAGCUGCUCUCCUGUUUCCUCUUCCUUGGGGCUGAUUGCAUCCCAUGAUGUGCCCAGGUUUUGAGAUGCUCCUCGUGAAUGAAAAUAGGACUGUCUGGUUCCUCCAUCCAUAGCAAGGGAGCCUAGACAGAAAUAACUUCUGUGCAUUUCUCCAGCUACAUUUAGCUGAAAAUAUGUCUACGUGAGGUUAACUGUAUUUACCCAAUGCCAGAUACCUGAAAGAGUGUGAAAAAUUAAGGGAAAACUAGAAAAUACAGAAAUAUAUCAAGAAGAAAAAAAAUUUAAAAAUGACCCAAAAUCCCACCAACCAGAGACAGCUAUUAAUGAUUGUGGUAUAUUUAUUGUAAGUCUCUUUAUUUCUGUCUUCAUGCAAACACAUUUUUAAAGAAUGGACACUGGUAUUAUAUUGUUUAUACAACUCUAAAUGCUGCUUUUUCACUUAUUACAAUUAGGACUUUUUUCAUGUUAAUAAAUACUUCCUGAAAACAUAAA
This 1605-nucleotide long non-coding RNA is filed under the name Homo sapiens (human). RNAcentral describes it as "non-protein coding lnc-SNX10-2:11". Lineage: Eukaryota; Metazoa; Chordata; Mammalia; Primates; Hominidae. The record is from RNAcentral.